RNAcentral lists this microRNA (22 nucleotides) under Homo sapiens (human). RNAcentral describes it as "hsa-miR-3619-3p". The record is from miRBase by way of RNAcentral. Lineage: Eukaryota; Metazoa; Chordata; Mammalia; Primates; Hominidae.
GGGACCAUCCUGCCUGCUGUGG